Long non-coding RNA from Musa acuminata AAA Group (dessert banana), 324 nucleotides. RefSeq lists it as uncharacterized. The transcript has 3 exons. The record is from RefSeq and is a predicted model, not a curated record. NCBI's taxonomy places the organism in Eukaryota, Viridiplantae, Streptophyta, Magnoliopsida, Zingiberales, Musaceae.
CUUUGCUGAAGGGGACAUGCUCGACUGCCGGUUGUUAUGGAGAUUGCACUGCUGCAGACAAUGUAGUGCAAGAAAGAGCACAUAGCCAAGUGAGUUCUGAAUUGGGUAAAUCUACGGUCAAGGUCCCCAGUAAUUACUCAUCACUAUAUGGUAGUAGAUCCAAACAAAAUUUGACGGAGGCUGAGAAAGAACAACGAAGAUUGCGCAGGGUCAUUGCUAACCGGGAGUCAGCUAGGCAGACCAUCCGUCGGCGCCAGGCCCUUCGCGAGGAGCUAACGAGAAAAGUUGCCGAUUUGUCAUUGGAAAAUGAGAAAAUGAAGAUGG